GAACGACGCAACCUGUAUUAACAAACAAGGAUCGUUUUCCUGUUUAUGCCCCUCUGGUUGGGAGGGAUCACUCUGUAACUUAGAUAUUGAUGAAUGUAAAGAUAGCCCAUGUAUAAAUAAAGCAGCCUGUGAAAACAACGAAGGGUCGUUUACCUGAACAUGUCUCAAUGGAUGGGAGGGUUCACUUUGUGAUCAAGAUAUUAAUGAAUGUAAAGAUAGCCCAUGUAUGAAUGAAGCAGCGUGUAUUAACAAUCAAGGGUCGUUUUCCUGUACAUGUGUUAAUGGAUGGGAGGGAUCACUCUGCGAUAAAGG
This is a long non-coding RNA of Magallana angulata, 312 nucleotides long. RefSeq lists it as uncharacterized. Lineage: Eukaryota; Metazoa; Mollusca; Bivalvia; Ostreida; Ostreidae. The transcript is spliced from 3 exons. The record is from RefSeq and is a predicted model, not a curated record.